AGCUCACUGCAGCCUCAACCUCCGUGGCUCAAGUGAUCCUCCUACCUCAGCUUCCUGAGUAGCUGAGACUACAGGCACAUGCCGCCAUGCCUGACUAAUUUUUUAAUUUUUUGUAGAGAUAGGGUCUUGCCAUAUUGCCCAGGCUGGUCUCCAACUCCUGGCCUCAAGUGAUCCUCCCACUUCACUCUCCCAAAAUGUUGGGAUUACAGGCAUUAGCCACUGCCCCUGGCUUUCAUAAAUGUUUGGUUUGGGGACCUACCUUCUGCCGUGGGUACAAUUAUCUCAGUUCCAUUUUUAAAAUAAUAGUAAUACUAAUAAUGAUGAACAUAAAUGCCGACAGUAAAAAGACUGGCAGGAAAUAGACCCAAAUGUUAACAGUGGCUAUUUCUUGAUGGUGAGGUUGCAAGUGAUUUCUUUGAAAUCCUUCUCAUUUUUACCCCCAGUUUUUAACACUUACUAUGUAACACCUUAAUCAUCAGGGUUGGAAUUAAGUGGCAAUUCAAUUUCAGGGCUGGGUGUACUUCAGAGGCUGCUUCACACUAUUAGGAUUCAUAACCUGAGCGCCUCCUGCUCAGCAUCUCCAGCCAGAGUGCAGGAAUGUCCCUUAGCCGAGGGGGAGGCCUGCGUGAGACAGGCUGGACAUGGACUUGGUUAUUGUUGCAGCUGGGUAAUGAGCACAUGAGGACUUAUCCUAUUCUGUUUACUUUUGUGUGUGUUAGAAAUUUUCCAUGGCAAAAAGAUAAAAUAUACAAAUAUCCCAGGUCAGUUCCAUUUUUACUUUGGGCUGAGCACUAAGGGAGGAUUUAAAAAAAAAAAAAAAGGCAUAAUCCUGUCCUCAAAGGGCGUAUCAUUUAGCGAGGGAGACGGAUGUGGAGAGCCAUAAUUCCAGAACAGUAGAAGAGACCUGGUGAAUCCAGGAGGCAGAACUGAGACCCACCUUGAUCCACAUUUGUCCACAUUUGCCUGACAACACUGACUACAUGCCCCACGACGGCCAGGCAGAUGCAGUAAGACUUCAGAGAGCCCAGGUCUUCAGGGCGGAACUGAUUGCUUAGUAAACCACCUUCAGCCUCGUUUUGGGGAAGGCUUUCUAAACUGCAUCAGCUUCUCUCUGUGCCUUGGAAAUGAGAAGAAUAUGUCCUUGAGUGGGGGGGCAUUAAUUGAGCUCUUUUUCUGAUCAUUAGGACCCUUAGCCCUAGGGUCACCCGGGGCACGGUCACCCGUCCCCUAGUGCCUCAGUGCUCAUACACACGUGGUAGAGGACAGGCUGGGCCUCUGCCAACUCCGGGACGGCCUGGACGUGGGAUUAUCGAGAGAGAUUUUUAGGCUCGCAUAUUUUGUUACAUCAUUUGCCUCUUUCUCUGCAAGUUGAGCACAAUAGGAGAGAGGAUCCAGCCGAUUGAGAUUUUGCUGUUUUUACUUUGAUGAGUAUUCAUUGCUUCCCAGUUUACAAAGUACCUUUACAUAACUGGCAUGUUUGAUUUUUAACAAGGCCCUUUGGAGGUAACCAGAGCAAGUGCCAUUAGCCUUUCUGUAGGUGAAUAAGAGGAGGCUUGGAGAGGUGCCCAGAGCCACACAGCCUCCUAAGAGGCCACACUGACAUGGAAUCAGGUCAUCAGCCCUGCACGUGGCAUGUGGUCUCUCGGUAUUUCCGAUGGCCAGUGCCAGGACAUCAGGUCUGUGAGAUUAAAAUAAUAGAAAAAGAUGAGGGAAAAUGUUUCGUAGGGUUCCCAGGCAUCAGCGUUUAGAACUGGAAGACACUUUUCACUGCAUAGUUUGUCAGAGAACUCUUAAAUUUCAUUGGUCAGAAUGAUAUCUAGCUUACAAGUUAUCUGAACUUUUAAGAAACUGGGUGGUUUUCUUUUUUUGGUUGUGGGGUUUUUGUUUGUUUGCUUGUUUUGUUUUUUUUGAGACAGAGUCUCUGUUGCCCAGACUGGAGUGCAAUGGCACGCUCUCAGCUCACUGCAACCUCCACCUCCCGGGUUCAAGCGAUCCUCCUGCCUCAGCCUCUCAAGUAGCUGGGACUACAGGCAUGCGCCACCAUGUCCAGCUAAUUUUUGUAUUUUUAGUAGGGACAGGGUUUCAUCUUGUUGUCCAGGAUGGUCUUGACUCCUGACCUCAAGGAAUCCGCCCGCCAUAGCCUCCCAAAGUGCUGGGAUUACAGGUGUGAGCCAAAGAAACUGUUUUCAGACUCAAACUGGAAACCGUGGAAAAAAAACUCUUUUGUUUUUUGUUUUUUAUUUUUUGUUUGUUCGUUUGUUUUUUGAGAUGGGGUCUCCCUCUGUUACCCGGGCUGUAGUGCAGUGGUACGAUCUCGGUUCACUGUGCAGCUUCCACUGCCCGGGCCCAAGCAAUCCUCCUGUCUCAGUCUCCCAAGUAGCUGGGAAUACAGGCAUGUGCCACCAUGCCCGGCUAAUUUUUGUAUUUUUUGUAGAAACGGGGUUUUGCCAUAUUGCCUAGGCUGCUCUCAAACUCCUGAGCUCAAGCCAUUCACCCACCUUGGCCUCCCAAAGUGCUGGGGUUAAUAGGUGUGAGGUACCGCGCUCAGCCAAAAGAACAUCUUUAAACAUCGUCAUUUGAAGUGACUAAACUAAUGUUAGCUUCUCAUUUUUUGUGAUCAAAUCAAACAUUUAGGAGCUGUCUGCUACUGGGUAAAUUGAAUUUCCUCAGUUAUUACUGAGGCUCGUUGGACAAUUCUCAGAGCCUUUUUCUGUGUAGCUUUGCUUGGUACUAUCAGUCUGUUCAGAAGCUCCGUAGCAAAAUAGAUGUCUGGUACAUGUAUUUUCAAACUCUUCAGGGAAAUGACUGCUGUUGCCAGUGCUGGAAAUCAUUUUCAUAGCUCUUUAUUAACCAUAAAAUUAUCUGCCCAGUAGCAGCACUGUGCAACAGAAAUAGAAAGUGAGCUAUGUAUAAUUUUAAAUUUUCUGUAGCCACAUUUUGAAAGAAUGAAAAGGAAGAGGUGAAAUGAAUUUUAAUAAUAUAUUUUAUUUAGCCUGAUAUUUCUAAAAUAUGACUUUUUUUUUUUUUUUUUUUUUUUUUUUUUUUUGAGACAGGGUCUCACUCUGUCACCCAGACUGGAGUGCAGUGAUGUGAUCUCAGCUCACUACAACCCCUAUCUCCCAGGCUCAUGGAAUCCUCCUGCCUCAGCCUCCUGAGUAGCUGGGAUUAUAGGCAUGUAUCACCAUGCCAGGCUAUUUUUUGUAUUUUUUGUAGAGACAGAGUUUCGCCAUGUUGUCCAGGCUCAAAAUAUGAGCAUUUUAACACAAAGUCAAUAUACAACAUGAUUGAUGCAAUUACAUUCCUUUUUCAUACUAAAUCUUUCAAAUCUAAUCUCAAUUCAUAUUAGCCACAUUUCAAGUCUUAAUAGUCACAGUAGUUCAUGGCUACCAUAUUACACAGCACAGAGCUGAGAAACAUUGACCACACUAGCCUCUGCUUUUCAGAAUUUCCCAAGAUUUUAGGCUGUUUAUCUAUGAUGUUGCCCAAAUGAAUAAUGUGUUUUUGGAGAAACUCUGUCACCCUUUCAUUCCCAGGGGUACUUUCAUUGAAUUCCGAAAUGGGAUGUUAAACGUGUCCCCUAUUGGAAGAAGCUGCAGCCAAGAAGAACGCAUUGAGUUCUACGAACUCGAUAAAAAAGAAAAUAUAAGACAAAAGUUUGUAGCAGAUCUACGGAAAGAGUUUGCUGGAAAAGGCCUCACGUUUUCCAUAGGAGGCCAGAUCAGCUUUGAUGUCUUUCCUGAUGGAUGGGACAAGAGAUAUUGUCUGCGACAUGUGGAAAAUGACGGUUAUAAGACCAUUUAUUUCUUUGGAGACAAAACCAUGCCAGGUGGCAAUGACCAUGAGAUCUUCACAGACCCCAGAACCAUGGGCUACUCCGUGACAGCGCCUGAGGACACGCGCAGGAUCUGUGAAAUGCUGUUCUCCUAACGCGGGAGCGGGAGGGGUGGGGUCCCGGCUGACAGGCCAGCAUAGGGCAUUCGGUGGCCAGAGCCGAGGGUCCUCCCACACGUGCUCACCCACCCGCAGCCCAGGCAGGCUCUGCGUGCUAUGCCAGGCAUGUGCAGUCUGGACCUCCACCUCCGGUGCCAGAAACUUCCAGAAGGAAGGAGAAAACUCUUGUCAAGAAUGGCCCAGAGGAAUGCCUCCCACAAAAGGUCUUCCCCACCCACCCCCAGCCCCCUAGUCUAAAACCCACCCUGAUACGUGCAAUGAUGUAGUUUUGGCGGAAAUUUCCCCAUCAUUCUGGGAUGAUACAGAAAGAAAAACUGUGCCUGGACCCUCCCUCUUGGUGGGUCUGUGGAAACGUAAGUGGUUUUUUUAAUGGACCCCUGCAUCAAUACCAAAAAUGGGGGUUCGGUAAUGAGAAACCAGGACAGGCCAUCUGCAGUGACCCAGCCCAGGACGAAGUUUACAAACACCUCCUGGAACGAAGCUCCCGCCUGCAUGUCACCUUGAUGGGGGCUGGAGUGGGGCAGUGUGAUGCCCAGUGACUAGACGCACUCUGCGUUUUCCCGUGUUUGAGGCUGAGGCCUGCUGGACAGAUGGCUGGCCAAGUGGGAGCAGACCCUAGGGAGUUUGCACCUCGGCUGGGCCGGAUUCGGACCGGCUCUGUGUUCACUACACUCAGAAUAGCCUGGCUGCUUCUCUGUCUCCGAGACCGGAGGGAGUGGGAACCAACAGCUGGGCUGGAGAGUUGGUGCUGGCAAAACAGUCCUUCCCCUGGGGCCGGUUCUUACCCAGGUCCAGAGAAACCAACGCGGGAUGUCAGACUUCACCAAAAGGACUUUCUGGUUGCCCCUGGCUGGCUUCCUGGAGGCGUUCGCCUCUAGUUUCUCAGGGAUGGAGCGAGAGCCCAGCCAGAGAACAGUAAGAGGAGCUGCUCUCCUAUCUGCACUCACCCAGGCCUUCACCCAGACUUUACCACUGAGGCGGCUGAGUGCAGCUACAGCUAGGUCCGCGUCCCUCACUCUUUUCAUCUUCUGCACGUUCUUCGUGAAACUGGAAGGAUCCCAGGUCUCAGCCAGAACACGGUGGAAGAGAACUUUCCUAGGAAACGGUUCAUGUGUCACUUUUCAGGAUGUGGAAACACUGUGAGCCAUACACCCUCCAUUGCUUGGUGCUGGGGUUGUGUGGCCUCCACUGGGCACUUGCCGACCUGAGUCUGGGGCCAGGGGAGCCCAGGCUGCCCUGCACUCCUGCCUCCCAGCCCACAACCAGGUGCUUUCAUCACAGCUAAACCUGGUUCCCUCCAAACCUCCCAGCCACUCGGGCUUGUAACUGUCCGAGCCCCGGAUCCAGUGGGGUGAAAGCAGCCAGCUGCUCAUCUCAGUGACUCACAGGACACAGCCAUCCAGUGGCAUCUUUCCUUGUUGAAUGAUACUGUAAUGACCUUCCGAAGUGAAAAGUAGCACAUUAAAGUGAUUUUAUUGUU
This 5431-nucleotide small RNA is filed under the name Pan troglodytes (chimpanzee). Its description in RNAcentral is "retained intron". Lineage: Eukaryota; Metazoa; Chordata; Mammalia; Primates; Hominidae. The record is from RNAcentral.